AGAGUUUGAUCAUGGCUCAGGAUGAACGCUAGCGGCAGGCUUAACACAUGCAAGUCGAGGGGGCAGCAUAAUGGAUAGCAAUAUCUAUGGUGGCGACCGGCGCACGGGUGCGUAACGCGUAUGCAACCUACCUUUAACAGGGGGAUAACACUGAGAAAUUGGUACUAAUACCCCAUAAUAUCAUAGAAGGCAUCUUUUAUGGUUGAAAAUUCCGAUGGUUAGAGAUGGGGCAUGCGUUGUAUUAGCUAGUUGGUGGGGUAACGCUCACCAGGCGACGAUACAGUAGGGGGACUGAGACGGUUAACCCCCACACUGGUACUGAGACACGGACCAGACUCCGUACGGGAGGCGA
Molecule: ribosomal RNA, 352 nt
Filed under: uncultured bacterium
Lineage: Bacteria
Description: bacterial SSU rRNA
Rfam family: Bacterial small subunit ribosomal RNA
Source: RNAcentral